AUUCAAUAUUUUAGUUUGCUCGAGUUCCUUCUACUUUAAAACUCUUGUUUUAAAAACCUGUUUACCACGUUGCGGUGUGUGGUUGGCUUUUGUGAUUCCGCUGUCCCUGAUUCAUGCCAUCUGAGGAGAAGGCCCACGUCCACGUGUGUGUGUAUCUCCUGGUAGACCUGCCAGCUACUUAUCCGUCUUCUUUCCUAAAGCCAGAGAAGGAGGAAUCAAACCUCAGUAGGAAGAAGGAAGAAUCAAACUACAGCAGGAGAAACAGGCAAUUCCUGCUGAACAAACAUCACUUUUACCAGGGUGUAAAAAAACCAGCCUCCUGGAUCUCCUCACCAUCUCAGUCCAUGCAGAUCUAAGUCUUCACUCCAUCUCCUCAUGCAGAGGUGAACGUUGGAGACCCUGGCUGAAAACUCCUCUGCAGGAGAUCAAGCUGUGCUGCUUUUGGGAUCCUGUGGUUGGCCACGUGCAGGAAAAUCA
Molecule: long non-coding RNA, 477 nt
Organism: Calidris pugnax (ruff)
Lineage: Eukaryota; Metazoa; Chordata; Aves; Charadriiformes; Scolopacidae
Exons: 3
Source: RefSeq, a predicted model, not a curated record